UCAGGACGAACGCUGGCGGCGUGCUUCAUACAUGCAAGUCGAACGAGAAGCUGACUUCGGUCAGUGGAAAGUGGCGGACGGGUGAGUAAUAUGUAGAGAAUCUGCCCUUGAGUGGGGGACAACAGAGGGAAACCUCUGCUAAUACCCCAUAUGAGCUAACUUGAAAUAGUUAUCUUGAAAACUCCGGUGCUCAAGGAUGAGUCUGCAUCUGAUUAGCUAGUUGGCGGUGUAAUGGACCACCAAGGCGACGAUCAGUAGCUGGUUUGAGAGGAUGAUCAGCCACAAUGGGACUGAGACACGGCCCAUACUCCUACGGGAGGCAGCAGUAGGGAAUUUUGCGCAAUGGGCGAAAAAGCCUGACGCAGCAACGCCGCGUGAACGAUUAAGCCCUUCGGGGUGUAAAGUUCUGUCAGUAGGGACGAAUUUUGACGGUACCUACAGAGGAAGCACCGGCUAACUCCGUGCCAGCCGCCGC
This 475-nucleotide ribosomal RNA is filed under the name uncultured bacterium. RNAcentral's name for it is "bacterial SSU rRNA". It matches the Rfam family "Bacterial small subunit ribosomal RNA", at positions 24 to 518 of the family's 1533-position model. The record is from RNAcentral.